This is a small nuclear RNA of Choloepus hoffmanni (Hoffmann's two-fingered sloth), 106 nucleotides long. The record is from Ensembl. Lineage: Eukaryota; Metazoa; Chordata; Mammalia; Pilosa; Megalonychidae.
AUGCUCACUUUGGCUACACAUAUACUUACUUAGAGUGAUACAGAGAAGAUUCGCAUGGCCGCUUUGCAAGUCUGGCAUGCAAAUUUGUGAACCAUUCCAUGUUUCU